RNAcentral lists this transfer RNA (73 nucleotides) under Paramuricea clavata. It matches the Rfam family "tRNA". From Rfam's summary of the family: Transfer RNA (tRNA) molecules are approximately 80 nucleotides in length. Their secondary structure includes four short double-helical elements and three loops (D, anti-codon, and T loops). Lineage: Eukaryota; Metazoa; Cnidaria; Anthozoa; Malacalcyonacea; Plexauridae. The record is from Rfam by way of RNAcentral.
GCCGAAAUAGCUCAGAAGGGAGAGCGUCAGACUGAAGAUCUGAAGGUCACUGGUUCAAUCCCGGGUUUCUGCA